RNAcentral lists this unclassified non-coding RNA (312 nucleotides) under plant metagenome. RNAcentral describes it as "partial contains 5.8S ribosomal RNA, internal transcribed spacer 2, and large subunit ribosomal RNA". The stretch from base 1 to 105 matches the Rfam family "5.8S ribosomal RNA", at positions 50 to 154 of the family's 154-position model. The record is from RNAcentral.
GAAAUGCGAAAAGUAAUGCGAAUUGCAGAAUUCAGCGAGUCAUCGAGUUUUUGAACGCACAUUGCGCCCUCUGGCAUUCCGGGGGGCAUGCCUGUCCGAGCGUCAUUACGCACCCUCAAGCCCGGCUUGUGUGAUGGGCCCUGGCGUCUCGUUCGCGAGACGGGCCCGAAAGGCAGCGGCGGCGUCGACCCGAUGAGCCCGAGCGUAUGGGGACUUUUGUCACACGUUUGCGGUGCGGACCGGCGCCUGCUUGACUUUUCUGAUUAUCCAGGUUGACCUCGGAUCAGGUAGGGAUACCCGCUGAACUUAAGC